This 79-nucleotide transfer RNA is filed under the name Salmonella enterica subsp. enterica. RNAcentral's name for it is "tRNA-OTHER". It matches the Rfam family "tRNA". Rfam says of the family: Transfer RNA (tRNA) molecules are approximately 80 nucleotides in length. Their secondary structure includes four short double-helical elements and three loops (D, anti-codon, and T loops). Lineage: Bacteria; Pseudomonadati; Pseudomonadota; Gammaproteobacteria; Enterobacterales; Enterobacteriaceae. The record is from RNAcentral.
GCGCCCGUAGCUCAACUGGAUAGAGCGCUGCCCACUCCGGAGGCAGAGGUCUCAGGUUCGAAUCCUGUCGGGCGUACCA